GACGAACGCUGGCGGCAUGCCUAACACAUGCAAGUCGAGCGAGUUGAUUUCUUCGGAAUGAAGCUAGCGGCGGACGGGUGAGUAACACGUGGGCAACCUGCCUCAUAGAGGGGAAUAGCCUUCCGAAAGGAAGAUUAAUACCGCAUAAGAUUGUAGUACCGCAUGGUAUAGCAAUUAAAGGAGUAAUCCGCUAUGAGAUGGGCCCGCGGCGCAUUAGCUAGUUGGUGAGGUAACGGCUCACCAAGGCGACGAUGCGUAGCCGACCUGAGAGGGUGAUCGGCCACAGUGGGACUGGGACACGGCCCAGACUCCUACGGGAGGCAGCAGUGGGGAAUAUGGCACAAUGGGGGAAACCCUGAUGCAGCAAUGCCGCGUGAGUGAUGACGGCCUUCGGGUUGUAAAGCUCUGUCUUCGGGGACGAUAAUGACGGUACCCGAGGAGGAAGCCACGGCUAACUACGUGCCAGCAGCCGCGGUAA
This 478-nucleotide ribosomal RNA is filed under the name uncultured bacterium. RNAcentral describes it as "partial 16S ribosomal RNA". It matches the Rfam family "Bacterial small subunit ribosomal RNA", at positions 28 to 523 of the family's 1533-position model. The record is from RNAcentral.